This 467-nucleotide ribosomal RNA is filed under the name uncultured bacterium. Its description in RNAcentral is "partial 16S ribosomal RNA". It matches the Rfam family "Bacterial small subunit ribosomal RNA", at positions 29 to 523 of the family's 1533-position model. The record is from RNAcentral.
AACAAACGCUGGCGGCGUGCCUAAUACAUGCGAGUCGAACGGGUAGCAAUAUCAGUGGCGCACGGGUGAGGAAAACAUAGAUAAUCUGCCUUCGAGUCGGGGAUAACCAGUCGAAAGACUGGCUAAUACCGGAUAAGACCACAGGAUCUGCGGAUCUAGGGGUUAAAGGUUUUUCGCUUGAAGAUGAGUCUAUGCGAGAUUAGCUAGUUGGUGAGGUAAUGGCUCACCAAGGCGACGAUCUCUAACUGGUCUUAGAGGAUGAUCAGUCACACUGGAACUGAGACACGGUCCAGACUCCUACGGGAGGCAGCAGUAGGGAAUAUUGCGCAAUGGGGGAAACCCUGACGCAGCGACGCCGCGUGAGUGAUGAAGGCCUUCGGGUCGUAAAGCUCUGUCGUAUGGGAAUAACACAAUGAAUGUACCAUGCAAGAAAGGAUCGGCUAACUUCGUGCCAGCCGCCGCUGUAA